CAGUCGUACCGACGAGAAAUCAGCUUAUCGUGUGUUAACUUGUGGGCGUGCGUGAGUUUCGGCCUCGCUGUUUGCAUGUUUGUGCGCUUUGGGUGUACUUUUUCGUAUGGUUGGCCAACAUCAGUUUCGAUCACUAUAAAAUGACUGGCGGAAUGUAGCUUCGAUUUCGGUUGAAGUGUUAUAGCCUCUGGUAGAUGUGGUAAUUGGGACUGAGGAUUGCAACGAAUAUCCUUUGGGCUAUCCGUCUGGCCUCUGAAAGUUUCUUGGGUGCUGAAAGCUUGCUUAUGGUUAUCUAAGUUAACGGUCAAUAGGUUAGAACGUGAUUACA
RNAcentral lists this ribosomal RNA (328 nucleotides) under uncultured Glomeraceae. RNAcentral's name for it is "partial large subunit ribosomal RNA". Lineage: Eukaryota; Fungi; Glomeromycota; Glomeromycetes; Glomerales; Glomeraceae. The record is from RNAcentral.